This 594-nucleotide ribosomal RNA is filed under the name uncultured fungus. RNAcentral describes it as "eukaryotic LSU rRNA". It matches the Rfam family "Eukaryotic large subunit ribosomal RNA", at positions 40 to 647 of the family's 3401-position model. Lineage: Eukaryota; Fungi. The record is from RNAcentral.
AUAUCAAUAAGCGGAGGAAAAGAAACCAACAGGGAUUGCCCCAGUAACGGCGAGUGAAGCGGCAAGAGCUCAAAUUUGAAAGCUGGCUCCUUCGGGGUCCGCAUUGUAAUUUGCAGAGGAUGCUUCGGGAGCGGUCCCCAUCUAAGUGCCCUGGAACGGGACGUCAUAGAGGGUGAGAAUCCCGUAUGGGAUGGGGUGUCCGCGCCCGUGUGAAGCUCCUUCGACGAGUCGAGUUGUUUGGGAAUGCAGCUCUAAAUGGGUGGUAAAUUUCAUCUAAAGCUAAAUAUUGGCCGGAGACCGAUAGCGCACAAGUAGAGUGAUCGAAAGAUGAAAAGCACUUUGAAAAGAGAGUUAAAAAGCACGUGAAAUUGUUGGAAGGGAAGCGCUUGCGACCAGACUCGCUCGCGGGGUUCAGCCGGCAUUCGUGCCGGUGUACUUCCCCGCGGGCGGGCCAGCGUCGGUUUGGGUGGUCGGUCAAAGGCCCUCGGAAGGUAACGCCCCCUCGGGGGCGUCUUAUAGCCGAGGGUGCAAUGCGACCUGCCUGGACCGAGGAACGCGCUUCGGCUCGGACGCUGGCAUAAUGGUCGUAAGCGA